This 82-nucleotide transfer RNA is filed under the name Dreissena polymorpha. It matches the Rfam family "tRNA". Rfam says of the family: Transfer RNA (tRNA) molecules are approximately 80 nucleotides in length. Their secondary structure includes four short double-helical elements and three loops (D, anti-codon, and T loops). The record is from Rfam by way of RNAcentral. Lineage: Eukaryota; Metazoa; Mollusca; Bivalvia; Myida; Dreissenidae.
GUUGUCGUGGCCGAGUGGUUAAGGCAAUGUAAUAUAAAUGUUUUCGGAUCUUCCCGCGCAGGUUCGUUUCCUGCCGACAUCG